CCUACGGGAGGCAGCAGUGGGGAAUAUUGCACAAUGGGGGAAACCCUGAUGCAGCGACGCCGCGUGAGUGAAGACGUAAUUCGUUAUGUAAAGCUCUAUCUGCAGGGAAGUAAAUGCCGGUACCUGAGUCAGACGCCCCGGCUAACUCCGUGCCAGCAGCCGCGGUAAUACGUAGGGUGCCAGCGUUAUCCGGAUUUACUGGGUGUAAAGGGAGCGUAGACGGCAGUGCAAGUCUGGAGUGAAAGGCGGGGGCUCAACCCCCGGACUGCUCUGGAGACUGUACGGCUGGAGUGCAGGAGAGGUAAGUGGAAUGUAUAGUGUAGCGGUGAAAUGCGUAGAGAUUAGGAGGAACACCAGUGGCGAAGGCAGCUUACUAGACUAUAACUGACGUUGAGGCACGAAAGCGUGGGGAGCAAACAGGAUUAGAUACCCUUGUAGUC
This 440-nucleotide ribosomal RNA is filed under the name uncultured bacterium. RNAcentral's name for it is "partial 16S ribosomal RNA". It matches the Rfam family "Bacterial small subunit ribosomal RNA", at positions 338 to 795 of the family's 1533-position model. The record is from RNAcentral.